UGGACAAAUUAUUAUACUCGAUUGUAUUCAUGACGUGAAACGGGGGAUUACACUCUUUUUAAACAGAAAGUGAAUCAAUUAACAUAAUGGACUCCU
Nicotiana attenuata is the source of this 96-nucleotide microRNA precursor. It matches the Rfam family "MIR6152 microRNA precursor family". The record is from Rfam. Lineage: Eukaryota; Viridiplantae; Streptophyta; Magnoliopsida; Solanales; Solanaceae.